Molecule: long non-coding RNA, 459 nt
Organism: Astatotilapia calliptera (eastern happy)
Lineage: Eukaryota; Metazoa; Chordata; Actinopteri; Cichliformes; Cichlidae
Source: Ensembl
AAGGAAGAGGACGUGGUGGAGAAAGAGGACGUGGUGAAGGAGGUGGAGAACGACGGCGACAAGGAAGGGGAAGAGCAAGGGCAAGAAGACAGUCAGUCUCGGAUGAAAUUCGAGCCACUUUAGUUCACCAUGUCCUUGUCCAUGGGAUGACUAUGAGGGAGGCUGGGCAACGAGUACAACCAAAUUUGAGUCGCUUCACUGUUGCCUCCAUCAUCAGAACCUUCAGGGAGGAAAACAGGACACAGAGACGACCACCUGGUGGAGGCAGGUUAAGGCUUUUGUCGGAGGAGCAAGAGAGGGAACUUGUAAACAUGGUAAUUGCAAAUAAUGUAAUCCGCCUGCAAGAGAUUCAAAGGAGAGUGAUUGAGGAUGAUCAUCUUUUUCGAGGCAUAAAUGCCAUCAGCCUCUCCACAAUUGACCGAAAGAAUCAAUUCCGGAUGAAACAGGCAUACCGAGUCC